CACUGAGAAUGUUCUCAUCAAUAGCUUGCUGUGAUUGGCUAUGGACCUAUUGAAAUCACCAUUAAACUAGAAAACAAAGUUACUCAGCCCUCGUGUGGAAAGUGUCUAAGACAGUAAUGCAGAGGCCGUAGUCUGAAGGUGGCACCUCGCACUACAGAACAAUGGUAGGAGCUCCAGGUUCGGAUCAUGGUUCUGAAUUUACUAGUUGUGUGCACUUAAGUUGCUUAGUCUAAUUAAUAAAGCAGGGAUGAUAAUUCCUCUUUACAGCUUUGUUGCAAGGAUUGCAUUAAAGAAAACAUGUAAAAGCAUAAGGGCAUUCAAUUAAUGUUACAAGAGCCCUUCCCUCAACCCCAAGGGCGGCUGCAGCUGUUCAGCCUGACACUUUAUGUGUGUUGGUCACAGUGCUGUCUUGGAGAAUCACAUACGGGAUAGUGCUUACCUCCCCAUAGCAGCCACGUCAUAGCAAAUAGCUCAUUAGCAUGCAGUUUCUUCCCUCCCUGUUCAGCAGCCCAGCAGACAAGCUGUCUCAGAGCCUGGAUUUCAGCAUGUUGCACUCACCGCAAAUAUCCUGCAGGCUGCCCACUCCAUUCUGCUGCCCUUCGCAAGGCUUCACUUUGCCCUCCAACCCUUUUUUUCUCUUGUUUACCAGAUGGAACGAAGUCUGUUUGUGGAAACACCCUUCCCCUCUGUUUACUUGGACCUGAUUUUGAAAGUAACAAGUCACUUUAUUUGGGCUGGAGGAAAAAGCACUAAACCAGAUGUUGAGGUGACCGGGAUUCCUGGAAGACAUUCUUCUCUCCAACGAGACACAUGAUGCAUGAAGUAGGAGCCCCUGGCAAGGAGCCCAGGCUGCCAUGGCCUCGCUCGCUCCUGCUUCCCGGCAUGGCCCCGAGGCUAGCUGCCUCUGUACUGCCUGAGCAUCGUCCCCUGGCGUGUCACCAGACUACCCACUACCUGUGCUUGCACCUGCAGGUGGGCAGUUCAGUCGUUGCAGGCUGAAGCUCCCUGUCACAGGAGUCCAUCAGCACUGGAGUUUACCAAAUGGCCCAGUCCAGGUCUGUGUCAUAUUGUUUUGCAAAAGCAAGAAAACUCAUUCAGAGCUUGUUACUUUUAUCCCUGACUUCCUAAGUGAGCAGUGUAGCCAGAGAACUACAUCCCCUGACAUCCUUUAAGAGCCAUGACCACUCCUGCCCUUGCUUUGUGACAGGCACUCCUGGAUGCUGAAGUGCUGUUGCUGUGCACCACUAUGCAUCCUGUGUGAGGAUGAGCACUCCAGUCCUUGCUCCCUCUUCCCGUGGCUGGCUCAUUAGCCAGAGCAAACUGUGGCCUUGAAGGAGCAGAAGGAGCAUUUGACUCUUCCCAGCUCUCAGUCUUUGGAAAAUUGAGCAAAGUGGAAUGAAAGCCAUUUAUUCAUUUAACUGGCAGUUAUUUAUUGAGCAUCUAUUAUGUGGCAGGCACCGUGGUGACACUGAAAAGAGAAGGGUGAACAAGGACAGUCCUGAGCUCAAGCAGGCUGCUGGCAGGUGGUAGUGGGGGCAGACAAGCAAAGGGGCACCCAUGCCAUGGCCUGCAAUGCACCACCUCCAGGACAAGGUUUGGGACCCAUCCCUGGGUCUUGGGGGACAUUCUAAAAGGAAGCAGUGGCUCAGCAUAGACCUGAAGGACAAGAAGGCACCAGUCAUGUGUGGAGUGGGUUGGUGGAGAUGCGCAGAGUGCAAGGAGGUCUGGAGGUGAGACCUCCAGGCAGAAUGGAGGGAGGUGUGUCCCAUAGCAUGUGGACUCUAAGGGGCUGGGAGAUCUUAGGGGUCCCUGGAGGCUGACUGAAGGCUGGCCAGGGAGCCUGCCUGGUAAGGGCCUCCAAGGUCAGGUUUGGGUGUAAGAGUAGCCAUUUCUAGCACUGGUUGAGGUGCACUUCCCUGUCAGUGCCCCAAAAUCCUUCAGCAGUGUCUGAUACGAUGUUCUAGACUGGCAUUGUUUCCAGUGCAGGCCCUGUCUCAUUCUUCAGGAAGCAUGCUCAUGGCAAUACCCGGAGUCUCCACUGCAAGACCAGAGUGACGGAGGCAGCAGAGCUCCUCAGCAGGCCAGGAGUCUCCAGAGGCACUGCCGAAUGUCUAAGAAGCAACCUCAUUGUAUUCCCAAGACCUGGGAAUCCAGGUCUCGCAGAUACGAUGAUACAAUCUAUAGCCAGGACAUCUCUUCAUGUGUAGGAUAAGCAACUAUCCCAGUCUUCCCAGGAUUGAGGGGCUUCUCCAGAUGCUGCACUUCUGGUGCUAAAAAUGAGAAACUGAAAUGAAUUAGUCACCCAAGGAAUGCUGACCCUGUGCUAUAUGAUCACAUUUACUCUUUAAAGCAAUGCUUUGAGGUAGGUAAUAUUAUUUCCAUUUUAAAUAAUUUAUAAAUAAGAGAUAAAGUGUGAUUCCCAAGGCCAUUAUCCAGUAAGUGAUAGAGACUGGGUUUAGGUUAUAUUGUCUGAUUUAAAGCCAGUAUAUUUGUUAUCUGCAUAAUAAAUUACUCCAAAUCUUGGGCUUAAACCAACAAUACGAGUUUAUUAAUCCAUAGUUUCUGUGGAUCAGAAGUUGAGGAGCAGUUUAGCUGGAUGGUUCUGGCUCAGGAUCUCUCAUGAUAGGAUCUCUCCUCAUAGUAUUGGGGGCUGUGGUCAUCUGAAGGCCUGACUGGGGCUGGAGGACCUGACUUCAGGAUGGUGCACUCACAUGGCUGCUGGCAGGGAACUACACAAGAGACAGGCUACCAUAGUGACUGUGUAUCUGAUGCUUCCACAGCUACCCCUUAGGACUCUAAGUCCUAGAAUUGGGACUAGAAGUGGGGAUUAAAGGGAUUCCAUAGGAUGAGAUUGACUAAAAAUAUAUAUACAUGAAUAGGCAUACACAGGAAUAUUCAUUAUAUGUGUAAAUACCAUCAUUUGUAUUCAGGCACACCUUGUUUUAUUGUGGCUUUAUUGCACUUCACAGAUAUUGUAUUUUUUUUAGAAAUUGAAGGUUUGUGACAACCCUGUGUUGAGCAAGUCUAUCAGCACUGUUUUUCCAACAGCAUGUGCUCACUUUGUGUCUCUGUGUCACAUUUUGGUAACUCUUACAAUAUUUUGAACGUUUUUAUGACUAUUAUAUCUGUUGUGGUAAUCUGUGAUCUUUGAUGUUACUAUUGUAAUUGUUUUGGAGCUUCAUGAACCAUGC
Homo sapiens (human) is the source of this 3191-nucleotide long non-coding RNA. Ensembl annotates it as GMDS divergent transcript. Its record names the gene GMDS-DT. Lineage: Eukaryota; Metazoa; Chordata; Mammalia; Primates; Hominidae. The record is from Ensembl.